This 465-nucleotide ribosomal RNA is filed under the name uncultured bacterium. Its description in RNAcentral is "bacterial SSU rRNA". It matches the Rfam family "Bacterial small subunit ribosomal RNA", at positions 28 to 486 of the family's 1533-position model. The record is from RNAcentral.
GACAAACGCUGGCGGCGUGCUUAACACAUGCAAGUCGAACGGUUCUCCUUCGGGAGAAUAGUGGCGGACGGGUGAGUAACACGUAGUUAACCUACCGUUUAGUGGGGAAUAACCCCUCGAAAGAGGAGCUAAUACCGCAUACGCUCUCUUGUGAUAGCAGGAGAGGAAACCUUAUUCGUAAGAGUUGGGGCUAAAUGAUGGGACUGCGGCGGAUUAGCUAGAUGGUGGGGUAACGGCCUACCAUGGCGACGAUCCGUAGCUGGUCUGAGAGGACGACCAGCCACACUGGGACUGAGACACGGCCCAGACUCCUACGGGAGGCAGCAGUGAGGAAUAUUCCACAAUGGGCGAAAGCCUGAUGGAGCGACGCCGCGUGCGGGAAAGACGCCGUUUUCGGGGUGUAAACCGCUUUUCUCGGGGAUAGAACGAGAGGUUUGUAGCCUCUCUAAGACAGUACCUGAGGAA